GCCGGGAUGGUAGAGCGGCUUAAUACGCCGGUCUUAAAAACCGGUGGUUCUCAUCCAGAAUCACAUGGGUUCGAAUCCCAUUCCCGGCGC
Molecule: transfer RNA, 90 nt
Filed under: uncultured archaeon
Lineage: Archaea
Description: tRNA-Leu(taa)
Rfam family: tRNA
About the family: Transfer RNA (tRNA) molecules are approximately 80 nucleotides in length. Their secondary structure includes four short double-helical elements and three loops (D, anti-codon, and T loops). Further hydrogen bonds mediate the characteristic L-shaped molecular structure. tRNAs have two regions of fundamental functional importance: the anti-codon, which is responsible for specific mRNA codon recognition, and the 3' end, to which the tRNAs corresponding amino acid is attached (by aminoacyl-tRNA synthetases). tRNAs cope with the degeneracy of the genetic code in two manners: having more than one tRNA (with a specific anti-codon) for a particular amino acid; and 'wobble' base-pairing, i.e. permitting non-standard base-pairing at the 3rd anti-codon position.
Source: RNAcentral